This is a long non-coding RNA of Mesocricetus auratus (golden hamster), 1511 nucleotides long. RefSeq lists it as uncharacterized. The record is from RefSeq and is a predicted model, not a curated record. The transcript has 5 exons. Lineage: Eukaryota; Metazoa; Chordata; Mammalia; Rodentia; Cricetidae.
GACUCCGCACAUGAACGGUGUGCGCAGGCGCUUUGGUUCCCCUUGGUUCCCCUGGCUGAGUCCGCGCCCUGGCGGAGUGAAUCCCUCGCUUCGCAGCAGUUUUAACAGCAAGGGACUGGGCCUUUUUCAUUUUAAUUUUUUGAGUCAGUGUCUCAUUCCAUCCAGGAUAGACUCGAACUCGAGAUAUUCCCUUCGCCACGUCCCGAGUUUUAGUUUCCUAGGCGCUACCCCUCUGGACUUGCCAGGCCCUUUCAUUUCCUGUCUUUUAUGUAAGGUGUUUCCAAAGCCAAGCAGAAAGUCGAGAAAUCCGUAGGUCCUCGUUACGGUCAGCUGGGGACUCAGAAGGACAACAGCACAGGGAUGGCAGGACAUCCUCCCUAUCUCAAGGACUCCUCUGGAAAGACGCUACAAUGUGGCGUUCCGGUAGCUCGCCGUGAUCGUAUAGUGGUUAGUACUCUGCGUUGUGGCCGCAGCAACCUCGGUUCGAAUCCGAGUCACGGCAUUGUGGAACAAUGGCACGGCAAGGACGCCUUUUUGGUGCCUCGUUGGUCACUUCCUGUUGGCGAAGUCGUUUGUAACGCCUGGUCUUUAAGUCUCAUCUAUCCCAAAGCUUGGUGUAUUGAGUCUGGAUUCACACUCAACUCUGACAGAUUAAGGACGAGUGUGCUGUCUCUGCUCCAUGCCUGCUGCCGAGGAUGUGAGCUCUCAGCUUCCUGCCUUUUCCAUCAUGCCUGCUUCUUGCUGCCGUGUCCUCCUGCCAGGAUGGUAUCUUCUGUUGGAAGCCUGAGGUCAAGGUACCAGCUGAUUAAGUUUCUGCUGACCAGCUCUGUUCCUGGCAUGCCGACUGUUACAUAGCACUCAUCCUGUCCUUAUAUGACAAAACAGAUUGGCACAUACCACUCAUCGCCGUGUCCUCACAUGACAAAGAGUGAACAAGAGGCCUAGGGUGAGCAAGCUGCCUGGUAUGCCUUCCCAGGAGGACACUAAUCUUAUCAGGACUGAGAUCUUUCAUCAUGUGAAGUCCCCUAGUUCAACAGCUCUGUCCCAUACCUGUGGCCCACAGGUAGCUCACAGGCAGCUGUUAUGGGGUACCUAAAGAGAAAAACUCCUAAGAGGGUGUUUGAGGAAGGCUUUGCUGGAACUGGGACAACUGUGAUUUGCCCUUAUCUGUAUAUCAGAGUCCUCUACACUUCUGAAGUACUGGAGGGCAUGUUUGUAACCUGUUUGGAGUUGUGACUCAGGGCAAAGACUAGUUAUCAGGACUCUAUGAAAGAUUCUACUCAAUAGCAGCUGGGCACAUGACUUCAUCUUUCAAAGCUCCAUUUUUGUAAAUAGGGAUUUGAAAAAUUAGAGACUGUUACUUUGGAGAAAUUCAGCAAGGUGACAUGUGAAUGAUUUUGGCCUUUGCUAAAAGACACCUUUCACCCUUUGCCAAGUCCUCUCGAUCCUAGUUAGUGUUCUGACAAAAGAGCCAAUCAGGACAAUUUGCUAAAUACAUUUUUUUUGCUGUU